This 482-nucleotide ribosomal RNA is filed under the name uncultured bacterium. Its description in RNAcentral is "partial 16S ribosomal RNA". It matches the Rfam family "Bacterial small subunit ribosomal RNA", at positions 30 to 507 of the family's 1533-position model. The record is from RNAcentral.
AUUGAACGCUGGCGGCAUGCCUUACACAUGCAAGUCGAACGGUAACGGGCCUUCGGGUGCCGACGAGUGGCGAACGGGUGAGUAAUACAUCGGAACGUGCCCGAUCGUGGGGGAUAACGAGGCGGAAGCUUUGCUAAUACCGCAUACGAUCUACGGAUGAAAGCAGGGGACCGCAAGGCCUUGCGCGGACGGAGCGGCCGAUGGCAGACUAGGUAGUUGGUGGGAUAAAAGCUUACCAAGCCGACGAGCUGUAGCUGGUCUGAGAGGAUGAUCAGCCACACUGGGACUGAGACACGGCCCAGACUCCUACGGGAGGCAGCAGUGGGGAAUUUUGGACAAUGGGCGCAAGCCUGACCCAGCCAUGCCGCGUGCAGGAUGAAGGCCUUCGGGUUGUAAACUGCUUUUGUACGGAACGAAAAGCCUUCUUUUAAUACAGGAGGGUCAUGACGGUACCGUAAGAAUAAGCACCGGCUAACUACGUG